RNAcentral lists this ribosomal RNA (406 nucleotides) under uncultured bacterium. RNAcentral's name for it is "partial 16S ribosomal RNA". It matches the Rfam family "Bacterial small subunit ribosomal RNA", at positions 30 to 526 of the family's 1533-position model. The record is from RNAcentral.
AUUGAACGCUGGCGGCAGGCCUAACACAUGCAAGUCGAACGAGUGGCGGACGGGUGAGUAAUGUCUGGGAAACUGACUGAUGGAGGGGGAUAACUGCGGGAAACGGUAGCUAAUCCCGCAUACAAUCAGAUGUGCCCAGAUGGGAUUAGCUAGUUGGUGGGGUAACGGCUAACCAAGGCGACGAUCCCUAGCUGGUCUGAGAGGAUGACCAUCCACACUGGAACUGAGACACUGUCCCGACUCCUACGGGAGGCAGCAGUGUGGAAUAUUUCACAAUGGGCGCAAGCCUGAUGCAGACAUGCCGCGUGUAUGAAGAAGGCCUUCGGGUUGUAAAGUACUUUCAGCGGGGAGGCGUUACCCGCAGAAGAAGCACCGGCUAACUCCGUGCCAGCAGCCGCGGUAAUAC